CAGACGGGUGAGUAAUGCAUAGGAAUCUACCUAGUAGUAUGGGAUAGCCACUAGAAAUGGUGGGUAAUACUGUGUAAUCCCUGCGGGGGAAAGAUUUAUCGCUAUUAGAUGAGCCUAUGUUAGAUUAGCUAGUUGGUAGGGUAAAGGCCUACCAAGGCGAUGAUCUAUAGCUGGUCUGAGAGGAUGAUCAGCCACACUGGAACUGAGAUACGGUCCAGACUCCUACGGGAGGCAGCAGUGGGGAAUAUUGGACAAUGGGCGCAAGCCUGAUCCAGCUAUGCCGCGUGAGUGAGGAAGGCCUUAGGGUUGUAAAACUCUUUCAGUAGGGAAGAUAAUGACGGUACCUA
This 347-nucleotide ribosomal RNA is filed under the name Anaplasma phagocytophilum. RNAcentral describes it as "bacterial SSU rRNA". It matches the Rfam family "Bacterial small subunit ribosomal RNA", at positions 99 to 481 of the family's 1533-position model. Lineage: Bacteria; Pseudomonadati; Pseudomonadota; Alphaproteobacteria; Rickettsiales; Anaplasmataceae. The record is from RNAcentral.